GCAAACUUGGUCAUUUAGAGGAAGUAAAAGUCGUAACAAGGUCUCCGUUGGUGAACCAGCGGAGGGAUCAUUACAGAGUUACUACUCCAAACCCAUUGUGAACCUUACCUAUGUUCUGUUGCCUCGGCGGCGCGGCGAAGCUGCGCGCCCCUCCGAGAGGAGGGCGAGCGACGACCCGCCCGCCGGCAGCACCAAACUCUUGAAAUUUUACAGCGGAUCAAAGCUCUGAUUUGAAACAAAAAAACAAGUUAAAACUUUCAACAACGGAUCUCUUGGUUCUGGCAUCGAUGAAGAACGCAGC
RNAcentral lists this unclassified non-coding RNA (301 nucleotides) under uncultured fungus. Its description in RNAcentral is "partial contains small subunit ribosomal RNA, internal transcribed spacer 1, and 5.8S ribosomal RNA". The stretch from base 1 to 73 matches the Rfam family "Eukaryotic small subunit ribosomal RNA", at positions 1759 to 1831 of the family's 1831-position model. Lineage: Eukaryota; Fungi. The record is from RNAcentral.